This 2340-nucleotide long non-coding RNA is filed under the name Gallus gallus (chicken). RNAcentral describes it as "lncRNA (ENSGALG00010023575.1)". Lineage: Eukaryota; Metazoa; Chordata; Aves; Galliformes; Phasianidae. The record is from RNAcentral.
GAUGUGUAUAUAUAAUAUACAUGAUUUUUUAAAUUAUUAUUAUUACUACUGAAACCAUUAUUUGCCAUUGCAGAGAUCCGUAUCAGUCCAGAACAGAAAAAUCUAUUGCAGCUGCCUUUUCAACUCCUGGGAAAAUUCUCAAUUUCUUUUGACAAAUAUUCAAAUUUUCUAUCAAUUCGAUCCUUUAUCUGAUGCCUGCUGAAAUCUCCUUUUGCUUUAUAAGUUUGUCUAUUCUACAAGUUAGCACCACCCAUCUCUGAUUAUGUUGUUUUAAUCUGCUUUUACCUAGAAGUAGCCAUGAAACGGCCCUAUGUAUUUCCCUACCCAAUUUUAAAUUUUUGGUUAUUAGUCAGUGCAGUUAUUGUCAAAUUAUUUUUUUUUUGUCUUCUGUGGGGCAAGUGCAAAGUGACAAUAAUUAGCAACCCAUACCUCAAGGCUGUUAAAGACUCCGUUAGUUUUACAGUGACAGGGUGAUCCAGUUGUCAUGAGACAACACAGAUGAUAAUGAUAUCUCCUUUAACCUGUUAAAGAGCAUAUUUUAAAUUUGGAGAAAAAAAAUGUAUUAACUGUUUCUCAUUACUACUGCCAAUACAAAUCUUACGUUUAAGACAAUGGUUAGCACAUUAAUCAUCCAGAAAGUAGAGGAAAUGUCCUAGCAGAGCUGACUAAGCUGAGGGAUUCUGGAGAAUGUUUGCACUAUGAGUUAGUCACCCUUUGACAGUCAUAGAGCUGGCUUGCACUUUGACUAUUCUUAGUAUGAAUACAUAAAGAUGACUAGCACUGCAUCAUGACUUGGAGUUAACAUGUAGUAUUUGUCAGAAAUGCAAUGUUCAACGGAAUUUAAGAAAUAUCAUAAGUGACUGCAUCUGUGUCUAACUAAUUUACCACUGAGAGGAAGUGAUUUAGCACACAGGACAGCAUCUAGGUAUGAAGAAAUAAUGAGUUUGUGAGCAGAGAGGAAGAAAUGUGUCUCAAAAUGGUCAUCAAAGAACAGAAAAUAAUGAAAUGAGCCAGAAAGAUCAUUCCAUUACAAACUGUCCUGCUAUCUAUCAUGACACUAGGUAAAAAUACGUCUGGUAGGAAGUAGGUGCAUAUAUGAACUGGAUCAUAUCUCAGCAGGGGACAGAGAGUUGAGAACAAAGAAUGAAGGGUGCACUUUGUGUUAAGUAUACAAAAGAUAUGAAAGAUAUAAAGCAGUUAGAUGAGGUGUUGAAGAGGACAGAGAUAUGAAAUACAUCUGGCUCUUUGUGCUACUAUACUUUUUGCCUAAUAGAAUAAAUAUUAUUAUGAUAACAAUUGGUGCCUGAAGGAAGGAACAGAAAAGCAGUAUAAGUAAUAUGGAAACCCCUAAAUUACUCAAUCUUCACACACAAAAACAAUUAAUCUUUUCAACAUUCAGAGAUGAAGUUCAAGUUCAGCUUCUAGUCUGCAAAGAAGCAGUGUACUUGGAUAAAUAGCAGAAUAUAUAAUGGUAAAAUACUCAACCAACUUGUAUGACAAUAAGAGGAGAAAAAAAAAGAAGGAAUAAAAGGAGUGAGCUGAUUGAGAGCAAUAGAUCAUAAGCUGUCAAAAAAUGGAAAUAUUCUUUCCUAUUUCACAUGCAAAUUGCCUGCAGAUUUGCUUCUGUUGCACUAAUUCACUUAAUUCUAACUUAGAUUAUUUGAGGAGAAAUGCUGUUUUAUCACCAGCAAGUACUGACUGCAUAAGGGAGCUUGUUCUUCACACUCCGUAGUACUGCACUGAGAGUAGUGGCCUGUGGGGAAUCCACGGUCUCAUUCUCACCUGAGAAUCUUUGCAGUUGCUGGCUUCACAGCAUUACUUGAGCAGACCUGAUUGACCUUCUGUUGAAAUAAUAAAAUGUAAGCAACAGAGUGUGUGGAUGCACAUACUCAAAUCCAGCUCACACACAACGAUUGCUCUGGUCAGGACGUACAACUGGUUAUAUAAAGAUAGGUAAAAGACAGAAAUUGUCUCAGGUUUCACUCCAUGUAAUUCAGUUACUUUUAUAUCAUGGUCAAGGUAGUUACUGGAGUGAAUUUGAUAAAAUCCACAAUGCAGUAAUGACAUUUUGAAUGUUUUUUUCCCCACUUACUCUGAAGGGUCAUGAAAUAAUUAUUUUCUCUGAGAAAUCAUCUUUUUAUCAAAAAUGUUACCAACUGUCUUUUUUGUAUAUGAGAAUAUAGUUAUUUAUAUUAGAAGGAGGGUGCUUCUACUCGAAGUGACAUAAAUAUCCCAUCUUUUUUUAAUAAAUAAUAAAAAAGGCAGAAUACAAACUGUCACAGGUGCUAAAAAGAUGAAGGUCUUCAGUUCUGUACAGCACAUUGUUGGGUUGCACUGAAC